Long non-coding RNA from Triticum dicoccoides, 661 nucleotides. RefSeq lists it as uncharacterized. The transcript has 3 exons. The record is from RefSeq and is a predicted model, not a curated record. NCBI's taxonomy places the organism in Eukaryota, Viridiplantae, Streptophyta, Magnoliopsida, Poales, Poaceae.
GCGACAGCUGCGUCUCCGGCGAGCCAUGUGCGGCUGAGGGGAUGCACACAUCGAGCUUCAUCGCGCAUGCGCGGGUGCUGGAUCCGGUCGCGGUCCGUUCAGAUCCGCGACGUUGCUGGUCUCCGGCGAUUUCAAGGUCGAUCUGAAGCGGGGUGCCUCGAUCUGCAACGCCAGAAGCUACGGUACGCUGGUCCGAACCCUUUCCUCCUCUACUUCUUCCAUAUGUGGAUUCCCUGGCCUGGUCUCCUCCUCGCCUUCUGUUUCGAGGCGGCUCCCCGACGGUCAAGACACGGCCACGGUGGUGCAGCCUGUCGUCUUCAUCGCCGGCAAGAAGCACCACCACGACGUGCAGUCACGGUGGUGCAACAUGUGGUCUACAUCGUCUACCACUCCGCCGUCUUCCACAAUCCCCCCACUUCCGCGGCAAGGCUGAGUCACUAAUGAACAUCGGAAACCCAAUUCAGGCAGGGCAAGAGUUGCUAAGAAGAGGAACCCGAACUAAAUGGGUUGUGAUCAAAAUGGGUUCCAAGGGAUCGACCAUGAUCACUGAAAGUGCUGUUUCUUGUGCACCUUCUUUCAAGCAUGAAGGGCCAUUUUUUGAGUCGCUUGGUGACCAUGAGAUGCUGGCCUCCUAAUUGUUCCCCAUACCCUUUUACAGAAG